RNAcentral lists this small RNA (241 nucleotides) under Salvator merianae (Argentine black and white tegu). RNAcentral describes it as "7SK RNA (ENSSMRG00000007575.1)". The stretch from base 1 to 171 matches the Rfam family "7SK RNA". Rfam says of the family: 7SK was discovered as an abundant small nuclear RNA in the mid-70s but a possible function has only recently been suggested. Two independent studies have found that 7SK RNA binds the CDK9/cyclin T complex (known as elongation factor P-TEFb). P-TEFb activates transcription by phosphorylating the C-terminal domain of RNA polymerase II. Lineage: Eukaryota; Metazoa; Chordata; Lepidosauria; Squamata; Teiidae. The record is from RNAcentral.
GCAUGUGAGGGUGAUCUGCCCGUGACACCCCAUUGAUCGCCAGGGUUGAUUUGGCUGAUCUGGGUGGCUAGGUCGCUGUCUCUAACUCCCUCAUGGCUCCUUGUGCAUCCCUCCUGAAGCUGCGUGCUCGAAGCCUACUAUUACGAUAGCUGCAAUCCCUUGCUAGAACUUCCAAUGACUUUUUAUAAUACCAUUUUCCACAGAGUGGUUUUGCACUACACAGGGCUGAUUGCAUUUUAAU